This 2989-nucleotide unclassified non-coding RNA is filed under the name uncultured fungus. Its description in RNAcentral is "sequence contains 18S rRNA gene, ITS1, 5.8S rRNA gene, ITS2, 28S rRNA gene". The stretch from base 586 to 2989 matches the Rfam family "Bacterial large subunit ribosomal RNA", at positions 1 to 2310 of the family's 2925-position model. The record is from RNAcentral. Lineage: Eukaryota; Fungi.
GGCUGGAUCACCUCCUUUCUAUGGAGCACAUGCCGCAUGCUUCGGCGUUGCGGCGUAUGCAUGGUUCGAUUCGCGCCUCCUUCCCUGUUCAGUUUUGAACGAUCCGCUCCCAUGGGCCUAUAGCUCAGGUGGUUAGAGCGCACGCCUGAUAAGCGUGAGGUCGGUAGUUCAAGUCUACCUAGGCCCACCAGCCUUCGCCCGGAUGGUUGGGCCAAGGGCUUCGGCUUGGCAAGCCAGCAUCGGGCUGACCGGGGGAUGGGCUCCGGGGGUGUAGCUCAGUUGGGAGAGCGCCUGGUUUGCAACCAGGAGGCCAUCGGUUCGAUCCCGUUCACCUCCACCACCUUUCGCCCUUCGGGCGAAAGGUGCCCCGCCGUAGCUCCGAAGCGACGGGGCUGAUGCGGCCGCAAGGAGCGGAGGCGGGAAUAAGAAAGCGGUUUCCUUCAGGCUUCGGCUUGGCAAGCCACGACGCCCGAAGGGCGAACGCUGGAUAAAGUUUUUUUGAUUUGGGCGCGUAGUAUUGCGCUCCCGCUCUUUGACAACCGAUUCCGAAUGCGCUGUCCGAAAUUCUUUCAUGCGUUGAGUAGUGGUCAAGCGAACAAGGGCGCACGGUGGAUGCCCUGGCGUCAGGAGGCGAUGAAGGACGUGGCAGGCUGCGAUAAGCUCCGGUGAGCCGCCUAACAGGCUUUGACCCGGAGAUUUCCGAAUGGGGAAACCCCCCGCGGCAAACCCGCGGGAUCCGUCACUGAAUACAUAGGUGCCGGAAGCCAACGAGGGGAACUGAAACAUCUAAGUACCCUCAGGAAGAGAAAGCAACCGCGAUUCCCCCAGUAGUGGCGAGCGAACGGGGAUCAGCCUAAACCCGGCUUAUGCCAAGCCCGCAAGCGUUGUAGGCCGGGGGUUGCGGGUUCUGUUCGGGCGGAUUUGCGGAUCCGCCGGGAAGUCAAAAACCGGUACCGUAGUCGAAGCGGCUGGAAAGCCGAUCCAUAGAGGGUGAUAGGCCCGUAGGCGAAACGGCACCGGCUUCCUGGAACAGACACCCAAGUACCGCGGGGCACGAGAAACCCCGCGGGAAUCCGGGAGGACCAUCUUCCAAGGCUAAAUACUACCUGACGACCGAUAGUGCACUAGUACCGUGAGGGAAAGGUGAAAAGAACCCCAGCGAGGGGAGUGAAAUAGAACCUGAAACCGUGUGCCUACAAACAGUGGUAGCCCUAUGCCGGCGGCUUGCCGUCGGCAGGGUGACCGCGUGCCUUUUGCAUAAUGAGUCAGCGAGUUACCUUACGUGGCAAGGUUAAGCCGGAAGGCGGAGCCGUAGCGAAAGCGAGUCCGAAACGGGCGACAUAGUCACGUGGGGUAGACCCGAAACCAGGUGAUCUACCCAUGGCCAGGAUGAAGCAGGUGUAAAAACCUGUGGAGGUCCGAACCGGUGUUGGUUGAAAACAGCUCGGAUGAGCUGUGGGUAGGGGUGAAAGGCUAAUCAAACCUGGAAAUAGCUGGUUCUCCCCGAAAUAUAUUUAGGUAUAGCCUCGGGGCAUUCAGUGACGGGGGUAGAGCACUGGAUGGGCUAGGGGACCUACCAGUCUACCAAACCCAACCAAACUCCGAAUACCGUCAACUGCUAUCCCGGGAGUCAGUCUACGGGCGAUAAGGUCCGUGGUCGAGAGGGAAACAACCCAGAUCGCCAGCUAAGGCCCCAAAAUAUGUGCUAAGUGGAAAAGGAUGUGGAAACGCUAAGACAGCCAGGAGGUUGGCUUAGAAGCAGCCACCCUUUAAAGAAAGCGUAACAGCUCACUGGUCGAGUGGGUCCGCGCCGAAAAUUCAUCGGGGCUCAAGCACAUUGCCGAAGCUGCGGGUGGCCUCCGCAAGGGGGUCGCGGUAGGGGAGCGUUCCAUUGUAGGUCGAAGCCGGACCGUAAGGACCGGUGGACGAACUGGAAGUGCUUAUGCUGACACAAGUAGCGAUAAAGCGGGUGAAAAACCCGCUCGCCGUAAGCCUAAGGGUUCCUGGGGAAGGUUAAUCCGCCCAGGGUUAGUCGGGUCCUAAGGUGAGGCCGAAGGGCGUAACCGAUGGAAAACAGGUUAAUAUUCCUGUACCACCAUUUCCGCGCUAUUACCGAAGGGGGGACGCAGAAGGGUAGGUGAGCCAGCUGACGGACGUGCUGGUCCAAGCCGGUAGGGGGGCUUCCCAGGCAAAUCCGGGAGGCCGUUAACUCCGAGAGGUGAUGGGGAGGGGCUUUGCCCCGCAAACUCACUGAUCCCACGCUGCCGAGAAAAGCCUCGUAGGGAGUUGGAAUGGUGUCCGUACCGUAAACCGACACAGGUGGGCAAGGAGAAUAUCCUAAGGCGCUCGAGUGAUCCCUCGUUAAGGAACUCGGCCAAUUACCCCCGUAACUUCGGGAUAAGGGGGGCCCUUUGGGGUGAGGAGACUUGCUCUCCGAGCUUCAGGGGGCCGCAGAGAAAUGGCCGCGGCGACUGUUUACUAAAAACACAGGACUCUGCUAAGUCGUGAAGACGACGUAUAGGGUCUGACGCCUGCCCGGUGCCGGAAGGUUAAGGGGCGAUGUCAGGGGGGCAACCCCCGAAGCUUCAAACCGAAGCCCCGGUAAACGGCGGCCGUAACUAUAACGGUCCUAAGGUAGCGAAAUUCCUUGUCGGGUAAGUUCCGACCUGCACGAAUGGCGUAACGAUCGCGGCACUGUCUCAACGAGGGGCUCGGCGAAUCUGAAAUACCGGUGAAGAUGCCGGUUACCCGCACCUAGACGGAAAGACCCCGUGCACCUUCACUGCAACUUGGCAUUGGAUUUUGGAAUAGCUUGUGUAGCAUAGGUGGGAGGCUUUGAAACCGGGGCGCUAGCUCCGGUGGAGCCAACAGUGAAAUACCACCCUGGUUGUUCCGGAAUUCUAACCUGGGCCCGUAAUCCGGGCCGGGGACAAUGCCUGGUGGGCAGUUUGACUGGGGCGGUCGCCUCCUAAAGAGUAACGGAGGCGCG